Molecule: ribosomal RNA, 433 nt
Filed under: uncultured Anaerovorax sp.
Lineage: Bacteria; Bacillati; Bacillota; Clostridia; Peptostreptococcales; Anaerovoracaceae
Description: bacterial SSU rRNA
Rfam family: Bacterial small subunit ribosomal RNA
Source: RNAcentral
ACGGGAGGCAGCAGUGGGGAAUAUUGCACAAUGGGGGAAACCCUGAUGCAGCAACGCCGCGUGAAGGAUGAAGGCCCUUGGGUCGUAAACUUCUGUUCUAAGGGAAGAUAAUGACGGUACCUUAGGAGCAAGUCCCGGCUAACUACGUGCCAGCAGCCGCGGUAAUACGUAGGGGGCAAGCGUUAUCCGGAAUUAUUGGGCGUAAAGAGUGCGUAGGUGGUUUCCUAAGCAUGGGGUUUAAGGCAAUGGCUUAACCAUUGUUCGCCCCGUGAACUGGGUGACUUGAGUUCUGGAGAGGGAAGCGGAAUUCCCAGUGUAGCGGUGAAAUGCGUAGAUAUUAGGGGGAACACCAGUGGCGAAGGCGACUUUCUGGACGAUUACUGACGUUGAGGCACGAAAGUGUGGGGAGCAAACAGGAUUAGAUACCCUGGUA